AAAACUUGUUUUCUACAGCUAUCUUAGGAUGUUAGACAAAAGGCAUAUACAAAACAAUCAGAUAAAAAGAAAAAAAAAACAACAAAAAGACAAUAGGUCAAAAAACUAAAAGAAAGCCGAAAGAGAAAACAAAAUAAAUCAUAGCUUGAAGAAAAAAGAGCAUACCCAGAGUUACCAAGUUUUACGGUAGCGAUUUAUGGCUGUUUUAAAAACAAAAAUACUUACAAAUUGUGCUGCAACAGGCAUUUUGGCAGAGAUCACUUCCUUCGUUACCGUGUAUGCAUUACAGGCAGCAUUGCGCAACAGCUUCGUAACAUCACAAGCCAACUUGCAGAAAGGGGUAGUAUAAGGUGGUAAUGUCUUCUCCGCCCAUUUGUAACCACGUGCCGCAUUACUCAUGGUUGUGUACCAGGCCUUUUCGACAUGCGGCAAUAGACCAGCAUUCUGUAAGACUUUGCCCGUAGCAGAUUUGGCAAAGACACCCUUACCGUUAAUUUCGGUGUCAUAGUACAAAGCUCCAGCGAUCAACGCAAUGAGCAGCAGUGAUCCCAAAGUCCACUUGCAACAUCCACAGCCCUUCUUUUUUUCAGCAGCUUGUUGUUUCUUUUUUUGUUGCGCGCUUUUCUCUUGAACGUUCUACAAAAUAAUACAAAAAGGAAACCGCAAACAGGUUAAAAAUAUCUGCAAUCAUUUAGAGGCAUAACAGCUGUUCUAGAUACUGUGGAGAAUACAAAUUUGUAAAUAUAUUUUACCUUCUUAGCAGCA
Stomoxys calcitrans (stable fly) is the source of this 765-nucleotide long non-coding RNA. RefSeq lists it as uncharacterized. The transcript has 2 exons. The record is from RefSeq and is a predicted model, not a curated record. NCBI's taxonomy places the organism in Eukaryota, Metazoa, Arthropoda, Insecta, Diptera, Muscidae.